AGAGUUUGAUCAUGGCUCAGGAUGAACGCUAGCGGCAGGCUUAAUACAUGCAAGUCGAGGGGCAGCAUGAGUGUAGCAAUACACUUGAUGGCGACCGGCAAACGGGUGCGGAACACGUACAGAACCUUCCUUCGAGCGGGGAAUAGCCCAGAGAAAUUUGGAUUAAUACCCCAUAGUAUAUUGAAAAGGCAUCUUUUUAAUAUUAAAGAUUUAUCACUUGAAGACGGCUGUGCGCCUGAUUAGGUAGUUGGCGGGGUAAUGGCCCACCAAGCCUGCGAUCAGUAACUGGUGUGAGAGCACGACCAGUCACACGGGCACUGAGACACGGGCCCGACUCCUACGGGAGGCAGCAGUAAGGAAUAUUGGUCAAUGGACGAAAGUCUGAACCAGCCAUGCCGCGUGGAGGAUGAAGGUCCUCUGGAUUGUAAACUUCUUUUAUCUGGGAAGAAAAAAGGGAAUUCUUUCCCGUCUGACGGUACCAGAUGAAUAAGCACCGGCUAACUCCGUGCCAGCAGCCGCGGUAAUACGGAGGGUGCAAGCGUUAUCCGGAUUCACUGGGUUUAAAGGGUGCGUAGGUGGGUUGCCAAGUCCGUGGUGAAAUCUCCGAGCUUAACUUGGAAAUUGCCGUGGAUACUGGUAGUCUUGAAUACCGUGGAGGUCAGCGGAAUAUGUCAUGUAGCGGUGAAAUGCUUAGAUAUGACAUAGAACACCGAUUGCGAAGGCAGCUGGCUACACGAAUAUUGACACUGAGGCACGAAAGCGUGGGGAUCAAACAGGAUUAGAUACCCUAGUAGUCC
Molecule: ribosomal RNA, 797 nt
Filed under: uncultured bacterium
Lineage: Bacteria
Description: bacterial SSU rRNA
Rfam family: Bacterial small subunit ribosomal RNA
Source: RNAcentral